GGGCCUAUAGCUCAGUCGGUAGAGCAGCGGACUUUUAAUCCGUAGGUCGAGGGUUCGAGCCCCUCUGGGCCCA
Molecule: transfer RNA, 73 nt
Filed under: Microbacterium barkeri
Lineage: Bacteria; Bacillati; Actinomycetota; Actinomycetes; Micrococcales; Microbacteriaceae
Also listed under: 4 other names
Rfam family: tRNA
About the family: Transfer RNA (tRNA) molecules are approximately 80 nucleotides in length.
Source: Rfam by way of RNAcentral